GUGCUUAUAUUGAGCUUAUUUUUAGGAGAGUUUGUUGCGUGGCAGGAUAUAUUUUGAUAUUUCAAAAUAUUACUGUAUAUUGGUAUGUUAUACUUGCCGGUAAUGCUUUUGGAAGGGUUAUAGGUGUCGGGUGUGAUAUACUUUUCCAGGUAUUUUGUGUCUGAUGUAUGUAAGAGCUUUAUUGGGUUUCUUGGUGAGACCUUAUCUUAUGUGUCCCAUAACCCUCUGUAAUUGCGGAUUAUUGCAUACAUUCUAAUUGUAUUUUUUUUGUAGGAGUCCGAAGAUGCAAAUGAUACAAUUUCAAACUUAUCACAACCCAUAUUGUGGCCGCUGGCAGCGAACUAGAAUACGACUAGAAACUGUCAAUCAUACGUUAUCGAGGGGAAGGAUGAAAGUUCCAUAACAAGCAACAGUUGUUUUGAUGCAAUUAUCGCCUUAUUGGCAAGUUUUUACAUCUUCAAUAUUGAGUACUGCCACACGAAGAGCAUCUUGUCUGCCUUGCAGACUAUAGUAGUGCAUGGGCAACACAGAAAAUGGCAUACAACUGCCAAUAGUGAGUUUAAGCAAGUGACGUUUUUGACAACACAGACGUCGACCGGAGGGAAAGUUGACGUUUUUCACCAAUCACAGUCCUUGACCCAGUCUUCUGACGUUGCUCAUGCCGUCAGUGUUGUCAAAAACGUCACUUGCUUAAGCUCACUAAUGAGGGUCACAGCCCUCUUCAAUGACUUGUCAUGACUCAUGAAUAUUAGUACUACAGUAAUUUUACACUUUUUGAGAGUUAUGUUGACAUAUGCUAACCCAAGUUAAUGUUAUUGAUGGAAUGUGUGUAUUGUCUCACAUCUCACCGAACUGUGGUAAUGUAUUAAAAAUUAUUCGUAUUGCGUUCACGUUAACAACCGCGCCUGCUAUUGCUAUCACAAGUUGAUUGCUCUUUAAAAUUAGAAUUGUAAACUUUCGGAGCCAUAUGGCAUAUAUGUACGAAUCUUUUGAUGGUUCCCAUAUUUCGGUGAGAUACAUAAUACUGACUACUGUGCAUGUAUAUUGUAAUUUUAGUUAUAGUAUUGUGUUUAUAAUACAGAAAUUGGAACAUUAUUUAUCUCAACUUAUAUUACAAUAAUUAAUUCCAAUCUUGGU
This 1137-nucleotide long non-coding RNA is filed under the name Paramuricea clavata. Lineage: Eukaryota; Metazoa; Cnidaria; Anthozoa; Malacalcyonacea; Plexauridae. The record is from RNAcentral.